This 823-nucleotide ribosomal RNA is filed under the name uncultured bacterium. RNAcentral's name for it is "bacterial SSU rRNA". It matches the Rfam family "Bacterial small subunit ribosomal RNA", at positions 60 to 914 of the family's 1533-position model. The record is from RNAcentral.
AGUCGAACGGAGUUAUAUUGUAGCUUGCUAUGGUAUAACUUAGUGGCAGACGGGUGAGUAAUGUAUAGGAAUCUACCUAGUAGUACGGAAUAAUUGUUGGAAACGACAACUAAUACCGUAUACGCCCUACGGGGGAAAAAUUUAUUGCUAUUAGAUGAGCCUAUAUUAGAUUAGCUAGUUGGUGGGGUAAUAGCCUACCAAGGUAAUGAUCUAUAGCUGAUCUGAGAGGAUGAUCAGCCACACUGGAACUGAGAUACGGUCCAGACUCCUGCGGGAGGCAGCAGUGGGGAAUAUUGGACAAUGGGCGAAAGCCUGAUCCAGCCAUGCCGCAUGAGUGAAGAAGGCCUUUGGGUUGUAAAGCUCUUUUAGUGAGGAAGAUAAUGACGGUACUCACAGAAGAAGUCCUGGCUAACUCCGUGCCAGCAGCCGCGGUAAUACGGAGAGGGCUAGCGUUAUUCGGAAUUAUUGGGCGUAAAGGGCGCGUAGGCUGGUUAAUAAGUUAAAAGUGAAAUCCCGAGGCUUAACCUUGGAAUUGCUUUUAAAACUAUUAAUCUAGAGAUUGAAAGAGGAUAGAGGAAUUCCUGAUGUAGAGGUAAAAUUCGUAAAUAUUAGGAGGAACACCAGUGGCGAAGGCGUCUAUCUGGUUCAAAUCUGACGCUGAAGCGCGAAGGCGUGGGGAGCAAACAGGAUUAGAUACCCUGGUAGUCCACGCUGUAAACGAUGAAUGUUAAAUAUGGGGAGUUUACUUUCUGUAUUACAGCUAACGCGUUAAACAUUCCGCCUGGGGACUACGGUCGCAAGAUUAAAACUCAAAGGAAUUGAC